This 268-nucleotide long non-coding RNA is filed under the name Elaeis guineensis (African oil palm). Its description in RNAcentral is "long non-coding RNA (EGUI_LNC058822)". The record is from RNAcentral. Lineage: Eukaryota; Viridiplantae; Streptophyta; Magnoliopsida; Arecales; Arecaceae.
CUUUUGUUUGCUCGGCUCCCCCUUGACUGGUGGUCUUCUCCUUGUUCCUUAUCUUUUUCUUCUCUUGAAGCGUCUAAACUUUCUGGUAAUCAGGACCAAGUCCUUAUCUUCUUUGCUAUUGUCUAAUUUUUCUGUGUCUUCUUCUUCCUGAGUUGUUGACUUGAGGGCUAUGGUCCUCUUUCUUCUGAUUUUCUCUUCAGUGUGUUACUUCAUGGUCAGUUCGUGAGUCAUGAGAGAUCCAAACAGCUCCUCCAAUAGUAGAGUAUUC